RNAcentral lists this unclassified non-coding RNA (1097 nucleotides) under Monomorium pharaonis (pharaoh ant). RNAcentral describes it as "tHAP domain-containing protein 2-like, transcript variant X4". Lineage: Eukaryota; Metazoa; Arthropoda; Insecta; Hymenoptera; Formicidae. The record is from RNAcentral.
CGUCAAGGUUUUCUGCCAAUCAGAAUAUCGGUAUAGACAGUUGUUUUCAGUGGAUCGUAUAAUAAAUACUAACCAGAGAGAGGUUAAGUAAGUGUAACAAUCUGAUACCUCUGAUAAAUCUCUGGUGUUGUGCUCCAAGAUGCACCAAUUCUAACAAGAACAGAUAUGCCUUGACUAAGUUAGGUGAAGAUCCUCAACUAAGGCAGAAAUGGAUUGAUGCUGUGGGAAAACCAAAUUGGCAACCUCCAAAAUUAGCUGUACUGUGUGAAGUUCAUUUCCAUCCAUCGGCAGUAUACUGUGUAGGGAAACGAAAAUUCAUUUCAAAAAAUGCGGCACCAACAUUUUUCUGUAAAUGUGACAUCAUAGAUGAACAAAAUCUAAUUAAUCAUCAUUAUUCUUUAAGAUCAAGAUAUUAUACUAAAAAAUCUGAGUUAAAGUUAAAAAGAGAAAAAAAAUCGGGACAGUUUAUGCACAAUAAAAAUUGUUGUAUAAAACAAUCUCCUUUAGAUAUAAAAAUAUCAGAUCAAUCAAUAAAAGCAGGAUGUACAAAGGAACAGAAGAUAAAAUUAAAACGCUCACAAAUUAAUCCUGAUUACGAGACAAUUCCAGUAAAGUUAAAUAACAUUAUGCAAGAAAAUGAAGUUUUAAAGGAAAGAAUUCAUUGCUUACAAGAUGAUUUGAUGCAUCUAAAAUCGUUUAGAUUUGAUAUAAUGCACUAACAUUAUUAACAUUAUAAUAUUAUAAAUAUUAUAAUAUAAAUAUAAUAAAUUCUGUAAAUAUAAUUAUGUACAUAUUUCUCAAUUAUAUAUAAUUGUAUAUAAGUAUACAAAUUGUGCAUAAAACGUUUUAAUUUGAAAAAUGUAACAGAAUUCACUUUUAUAAAUUUGAUAUUUCUUUUGGAGUGUUGACAAUAUCAGCCACAUAAACAAAUUAACUUAAAGAUUCCCCGCAAAUGUGAUUUGUAUAAAAUUUUUCAAUUAUUUAGUUUUAGAAUGUUACAAAUAAUACUUAUGUGUAUUAUAUCUUAAACAUUAUAGUUUAAGCUGGCUUGUUAGCAGCAAACUCUUAUAAUAAUAAAAUAAUGAUUAGCAAUAUAA